This 85-nucleotide transfer RNA is filed under the name Felis catus (domestic cat). It matches the Rfam family "tRNA". Rfam says of the family: Transfer RNA (tRNA) molecules are approximately 80 nucleotides in length. Their secondary structure includes four short double-helical elements and three loops (D, anti-codon, and T loops). Lineage: Eukaryota; Metazoa; Chordata; Mammalia; Carnivora; Felidae. The record is from Rfam by way of RNAcentral.
GCCUGGGUAGCUCAGCUGGUUGAGCAACUGACUUCAGCUCAGGUCAUGAUCUCCUGGUUCGUGAGUUCGAGCCCCGCAACAGGCU